AGAGUUUGAUCCUGGCUCAGGAUGAACGCUGGCGGCGUGCCUAAUACAUGCAAGUCGAACGAGGUGCUUUUGUAGCAAUACGAGAGUAUCCUAGUGGCGAACGGGUGAGUAACGCGUUGGUGACCUACCCCAAAGUGUGGAAUAACAGUCCGAAAGGAUUGCUAAUACCGCAUGUGGUUAUCGGGUUUAGAAACUGAUAACUAAAGGAGCAAUUCGCUUUGGGAGGGACCUGCGUCCCAUCAGCUAGUUGGUGAGGUAAUGGCUCACCAAGGCUACGACGGGUAGGGGACCUGAGAGGGUGACCCCCCACAAUGGAACUGAAACACGGUCCAUACACCUACGGGUGGCAGCAGUAGGGAAUAUUGCACAAUGGGCGAAAGCCUGAUGCAGCAACGCCGCGUGCACGAUAAGGUCCUCGGAUCGUAAAGUGCUUUUCUGGGAGAUGAGAAAGGACAGUUCUCAGAUAAUUCG
Molecule: ribosomal RNA, 471 nt
Filed under: uncultured soil bacterium
Lineage: Bacteria
Description: bacterial SSU rRNA
Rfam family: Bacterial small subunit ribosomal RNA
Source: RNAcentral